UCCCAUGAUCCUCCCUGGCCCACACCUGCACUCACUCCUCCACUCAGCAUUCACCUGCACCUGAUACUCAUCAUCCACUCAUCACCACAGAUACUUAAGCACUCGACUCACUUCAGUUCAAUGUCCGUUCUCGUUUGGUAAAGGACUGUAUUCCCAAGCUAACCUUAAGGACCCUUGUUUUAGAUCUCCAACGUCUCCAGCGAUCUCCUACGUCUUCCUUGUUUCCUGUCUCCUCCUGUGUUCCUAUAGUUUUUUCCUUAUGAUGAAUGAUCCAGUGCUCAAGAAGUAAUAAAUACUACAAACCUUCAAGAACCCAAUGAAAUAUUUUGUUGUAGGCCAUGCAAUGCAGAUGUCUACGACAAAAAGAAAAGACAAAAAGGUUUUUACCAGAUGCAACAAUGGCCUACUCCAUUAAAUUUCAGCGCGACGACGGUCACAAGGAUCAAAAGGAUAAGGUUUUUACUGGAUGACGUAACAAUGGCCUACUCCAUUGGAUGUCAGCGCGACAAUGGUCACACAGAUCAACAGAAUAAAGCUUCUCUAGGGGGUGAAGUCAGCUUGACCUAAUUACACUCAAUUGGCUGCUCACCUGCGUAGCACAGACCAAGAGCUUAAAAUGGAAUAAUGAUUUACUGCAAUUAUUUACAUGUUGCCUUAUUUUAUAAACAAACCAUAUUUAAUGUGAAAUAUUUUGUAUCCCAUCUUUUAUCUUAUUAUUUAUUAUUUUUCUUUACAUUCCUUGGUUAUUUAGUCUAACCGUUUUCAUAAAACGGACUCAGACUACAAAUGUUUUUGAGCCUGGGUUACAUAUGGCUCAAUGCUGUGACUGUUCAAGGAGAAUCAUCUCUCACUCCUGCAGUGUCACAUUUCUGUCCUUGUAUAACUCACUCAGUUCAGAUACUUAAGUAUUACCAUGUGUCAAAGCCAGGAUAUCAGUUAAACGCACUGCAGUGACCCUCACGUACUUAUGUUAGCAUAACUUAUUUUAAAGGUGCGUCAUAUUAGCGAAAUUUCAGUGACAUAUUGUAUGCAAAAAAUAUCCAUUGUCCAUUGUCAAUAGCAUAGUGAUGUAUAAAGCACAGCUCACAAAUUAAAACCAAGCAGCUUUGUUGGUCUGCACAGCGACUUCAUGUGACUAACUUGAGUGUUACGGCCCUGAGUGUUCUUUUUAUAUUCGUCCACUAGGUGGUGUUGUUCCGUGGUUUUGCCUCUCUUCCAGAGCGAGUGUCAGGUACAUGUGUGGAGUGUUACCUGUGAUUGGAGUUUGGGUUUAAAAGAUGGAGAUUCAGAGAGCAGUGGUGUUGUCUGGACUAGGCUGCCUUUCAUCUUCCCUCUCCAGCCUGGAUUGUUUUAUUUUUGUUUCUUUCUUUAUACUUAUACUUUAUUUUUGUAUUAUUUUGAUUUAUUCUUGAUUAAAUGUUUAUUUGUUAAACUUUUCUGUGUGGCCUCCCCUUUUUGGUAAUGUUACUUCACUUAGAGCCAGGUGGUUGUAACACAAGCGACAUCUGCAUUUGCAACUUUUCCGUCCUCACAUGAAAUUCCCAUUUGCACUGAUUCCUAUUGGAAUGACUAAAAUAAUGAUGUUAAAGGGUCAAAGUUUCGUAAUAAGGUUCAUUCAUAAAUCCUCCAAAUCACUAGGUUUGCCAGGAUGCUGAAGCUUCAUGUCUUGACCUAAAUAAUAAUAAUAAUAAUGUAGUAUAAGCAUUCUAUGAUCAUAAUGAAGAAAGGGUUAAAUAAUAAAAAGAUUUGCCAUUGGCAGUGCUUUAUUAUUAUUAUUAUUAUUAUUAUUAUUUAAUAAAAAAAAAAAAAUGCAAAUAGCUAUUUAUGCCUAUAUUGUCUAUUAGUACAAAGCUAUUACGUGGUCAUGUGACAAGGAAAUCAUACAGAAAAAUGACAUCACAGAUGGGAUAGUUAUGACAAGAGCUGUGUCCCAAAUUACAUACUAUACACUAUGCAGUCUGAUGAUAGCCUUCCCCCUACAUAAUUAAAGCUGUGACAGUUGAGGUCAUGAAGUGUUCAACAUUCUACACUUUGUUUUUUUUCUUUUUUUUCUUUGAUUAAUUAAGUGCAUCAUCCGAGAAUUUGAAGGGCACUUUUUCUUUUUGGAAUUGUGAACACAGUAAUCACGCUAUUUACACUACAAAAUGGCAUAUAGUAGUAAUGCACAAAUACGCAAUUUGGAACACACCUAGGGUCAGUUUUUUGAUCACACAGCAACAGAUUACAGUUGUCAUGUAUUUGAGUCUUUAAUUAGGUUAUGUUCACACACAGUUUGGUUAUUUACAGAAGUGACAACCGCAUUUUUGUAACUGAUCUCACACUCAUACAUUUUUAGAACUCACAACCAGGGCUGGCUAUACAUGGGCAGGUAACACCCGUGAGCUGUAACACCCAAACUAAAAUAUAUAAGAUUUGCAUUAGAAUAACUUUCCCCGAUUUAACUUGAGAUAGGCUAACUGAAAUAUUCAAGUUGUCACUUCACAUUUUCAGUUGACUAAAGGUUGACUAAACACUUUAAGUUGAAACAAUUUUUUACAGUUUACAGAAUGCAAUUUGACUUCUUCAUUUUCAGAACAAAAUGAAUACAUUUUAACUUACAAUGUUACAAAAUAAAAGGAACAUCAAAUUAAGAUGUGUAAUCAAGAAAAAAAAAAAUAGACAAAAUUACAAAAAUAAAGAUGAAUUUUUGUUUGAGAGGCAUCUGAUUCUUACCAUAUAGCGUACCAAUAGUAAUAAAAUAAUUUUAUAUACAAUUUAAUAAUAUGGAUAUAAUAGAUUUAAAGCACCUUGAAUAUUGCAGAGAAACAUUGCUUUAACCGGAGCAACACCAUGAGCAUGGAUGCUGCGUAUAGGCUAAUUCUGUCAUGUGAGACCACAUUUAUUUGAAUUAAAGCCAUUUUUCUCAACAAGAAGUGUUUCAAACUAAUUUUUGCAACAUUUGAAGUAUCAAUAUAGAAUUUAUGCACUAAAGGGGAAAAGAUUGUGUUAAAACUUGAUCCUAGUCCCAGACAAAAACUCAGUGCCAUAGUUUUGUCUCAAGAUGCACACCAGUAAUGUUUUUUUUUGUUUGUUUGUUUGUUUUUCCCUUUUUUUUUUUUCUAAGGCACAUUUAUUAAAGCUACUUAAAUGUCCCAGUUUAACUAAAGCCCAAUCCUGGCUCAAUCUAAGCCCUGUCUAACCAGGCCCUUGAGUCAAGCAGUAAAUAAAUAAACAGAAACUUACUGAAAAUAGUUCAAUAAAAAACAAAAAUAUAUGUGUGUGUGUGUGUUAUAAUCAAAAACAUGAAUAUAAAGAUUAGAUUUCUAGGAACAUUGUCCAUGUCCAGUAGUGCUUCUCAUAGCUGCAGCUAUGAUUGCACCGAAAAAGGCUGGCUCAAGAGUUUAUGCAUAUUUAGAUCAGAAAAUGGUAUGAAUUAUGAGUCUAUACUGCACAGUAUUCAGUUUUAGUGAGCCAGUAUUCCAUUCUGAAAACGCUUAAAGGCUUUAGUGCCAUCUAGUGGAAACCAUGCCAUUAAAAUACUUUUUAAAAUAUAAAAAGUGCAGCAUUUAAAAACUGCAUUAAAGUAAAUAUAUAUAU
This is a long non-coding RNA of Ctenopharyngodon idella (grass carp), 3576 nucleotides long. RefSeq lists it as uncharacterized. The record is from RefSeq and is a predicted model, not a curated record. NCBI's taxonomy places the organism in Eukaryota, Metazoa, Chordata, Actinopteri, Cypriniformes, Xenocyprididae. The transcript has 5 exons.